AUUCGUAUUCAGUUAUCACUCAAAAUCAAAUUUUCGUUGGUUGAAUACUUUGAAUAAUUUGCGAUCAUAAAAAACAAAACAAAGCGGCUCAUUUUGACAUUAUAAAUUAAAACCCUUUUGACAAAUUGUUGUUCUUGGGCUAUCGACACAACUGUAUAUAAUUGAAUCAUGAAUUUUUUAGUCAUUUACAUACUAUAAUAAAUAAAGAAGUUUGAAAUAAGCAAGAAGGCAAAUAUUCGGAUAUACAUCGAAAAACGGAGAAAUUACAUUUUUACUUACGACCAGGGAUGGGCUGAGACCCAUCAUGUGCUAAAAGAUCCCAAAAUCAGUGACAUCAACUUACAUACAGUUCAUGCGACUUCUGAUCCCGCGACAUUUUUCAACUAA
Bactrocera oleae (olive fruit fly) is the source of this 387-nucleotide long non-coding RNA. RefSeq lists it as uncharacterized. The record is from RefSeq and is a predicted model, not a curated record. Lineage: Eukaryota; Metazoa; Arthropoda; Insecta; Diptera; Tephritidae.